Molecule: long non-coding RNA, 308 nt
Filed under: Gossypium barbadense (sea-island cotton)
Lineage: Eukaryota; Viridiplantae; Streptophyta; Magnoliopsida; Malvales; Malvaceae
Description: long non-coding RNA (GBAR_LNC005497)
Source: RNAcentral
AACAUGGUAUUAAAGCCACCAUCAGGCAUCUGUUUCUAGCCGUGGUAGUUGCUCGUUCUUCUUUUUCUUGUCUAGUCAUCGCUGGUGGUAGUUGUAGAAGUUUUCUGUUUGUUUUUUCUACUGUUUGUUUCUAGAGUUCUUCCCAUGGUGAAUUCGACUGAUUCUUUAGUUGAUUUCAACAAUCCGUUGUACUUGCAUCCUUCUGACACUCUAGGUGCGUUGCUUGUUUCCCAUCAUUUUUAUGGUAUCAAGAAUUACAGUGUUUGGCGUCGAUCUGUGUGGAUUACAUUGUUCGUCAAAAAUUAGUU